AGACUUUGAAUGUCACACUGGUUGUUAUGACAUUCAAUUCUGCACAGACAGGGAUUAUGCAGAACUUAACAGUAAGUGCAGUAAAUAACACAAGUAAUUGUUUACCCAGUUCAGUCCAACAUGACCUACAUCUGGGGGCUACCAAGCCAGGGAGGAAAUCCACUAUUAGUAGUAUCAAUUCAAAGCUAAACUCACCCGUUUACAAC
This 206-nucleotide long non-coding RNA is filed under the name Lathyrus oleraceus (garden pea). RNAcentral's name for it is "Pisum sativum (pea) long non-coding RNA (PSAT_LNC027285)". The record is from RNAcentral. Lineage: Eukaryota; Viridiplantae; Streptophyta; Magnoliopsida; Fabales; Fabaceae.